AUUCAACUCAAGAAGUGGGAAAUCUGUCACCACACCUUCUGCUAACACAGAGAGAGCUCUGAGGCUUGAAUUACACCCUCUGUCCUGAAAGCCAGGCUUAAGUGUCCUGCAGGAAGCUGACCUGGACUACCCCAUGGGCACUGUACAGGAGGAUGUCUCACAAGGCAACCAUAUGCUGAAGCUGAUGUAGAGGCUUGUGAGACAGGCUUCUCACCAAGGACAGCGGCAGAUAUCUUGACUGAUGUCUAACGUCCUGACCUUGCAUGAGAGAAGAAUGGGAUAUUCAAAUGUGCUUAAGAAAGUGAGGAAACACUACCAGCAAACUCUAUUAUCUAAACACACAUGGUGGAUAGCCAAAGGAUCUGAGGUGUGACUCUUCAUGUUGGCACACCUGAGCAGUGAGCAGAGUGCCCAGAUGCUCUGACAUCCACUGUGCAGAAUAGAGAGUGCAAAGAUGACAGAAAAUGAACUCCGGUUUUAUUAGCAUCAUCAAAACGAAGAUACUGGGUGUCUCUCUGUUAAAACAACACCAAAGUUGAAGAGAAAACACUGAGAGAAAAACACACAGCCCCUCAAUUUCAGCAGCAUCUUACUGAAACACCAAGUUGGAGAACAGAAUGAGGGCUGAAUACAGACAGAAUACACAUCAAAGAGUGCAACAUGUUCUGGGAAUGACUUAAAUACAACC
Melospiza melodia melodia is the source of this 688-nucleotide long non-coding RNA. RefSeq lists it as uncharacterized. The record is from RefSeq and is a predicted model, not a curated record. The transcript is spliced from 3 exons. NCBI's taxonomy places the organism in Eukaryota, Metazoa, Chordata, Aves, Passeriformes, Passerellidae.